UACGUAGGGCGCGAGCGUUGUCCGGAAUUAUUGGGCGUAAAGAGCUCGUAGGCGGCUUGUCACGUCGAUUGUGAAAGCCCGAGGCUUAACCCCGGGUCUGCAGUCGAUACGGGCUAGCUAGAGUGUGGUAGGGGAGAUCGGAAUUCCUGGUGUAGCGGUGAAAUGCGCAGAUAUCAGGAGGAACACCGGUGGCGAAGGCGGAUCUCUGGGCCAUUACUGACGCUGAGGAGCGAAAGCGUGGGGAGCGAACAGG
RNAcentral lists this ribosomal RNA (253 nucleotides) under uncultured bacterium. RNAcentral describes it as "partial 16S ribosomal RNA". It matches the Rfam family "Bacterial small subunit ribosomal RNA", at positions 524 to 776 of the family's 1533-position model. The record is from RNAcentral.